AGUGAACGCUGGCGGUAGGCCUAACACAUGCAAGUCGAACGACAGCACAGUAAGAGCUUCCUCUUACGGGUGGCGAGUGGCGGACGGGUGAGGAAUACAUCGGAAUCUACUUUUUCGUGGGGGAUAACGUAGGGAAACUUACGCUAAUACCGCAUACGACCUACGGGUGAAAGCAGGGGAUCUUCGGACCUUGCGCGAUUGAAUGAGCCGAUGUCGGAUUAGCUAGUUGGCGGGGUAAAGGCCCACCAAGGCGACGAUCCGUAGCUGGUCUGAGAGGAUGAUCAGCCACACUGGAACUGAGACACGGUCCAGACUCCUACGGGAGGCAGCAGUGGGGAAUAUUGGACAAUGGGCGCAAGCCUGAUCCAGCCAUACCGCGUGGGUGAAGAAGGCCUUCGGGUUGUAAAGCCCUUUUGUUGGGAAAGAAAAGCAGCAGGUUAAUACCCCGCUGUUCUGACGGUACCCAAAGAAUAAGCACCGGCUAACUUCGUG
RNAcentral lists this ribosomal RNA (492 nucleotides) under uncultured bacterium. RNAcentral's name for it is "partial 16S ribosomal RNA". It matches the Rfam family "Bacterial small subunit ribosomal RNA", at positions 29 to 507 of the family's 1533-position model. The record is from RNAcentral.